Molecule: ribosomal RNA, 401 nt
Filed under: uncultured bacterium
Lineage: Bacteria
Description: bacterial SSU rRNA
Rfam family: Bacterial small subunit ribosomal RNA
Source: RNAcentral
GAUGAACGCUAGCGGCAGGCUUAAUACAUGCAAGUCGAGGGGCAUCGGGGGUAGCAAUACCUGCCGGCGACCGGCAAACGGGUGCGGAACACGUACACAACCUUCCUUUUGGUGGGGGAUAGCCCAGAGAAAUUUGGAUUAAUACCCCGUAGUAUUAUUGGAUGGCAUCAUUUAAUAAUUAAAGAUUUAUUGCCAGAAGAUGGGUGUGCGUCUGAUUAGGUAGUUGGUAGGGGUAACGGCCCACCAAGCCUGCGAUCAGUAACUGGUGUGAGAGCACGACCAGUCACACGGGCACUGAGACACGGGCCCGACUCCUACGGGAGGCAGCAGUAAGGAAUAUUGGUCAAUGGACGCAAGUCUGAACCNGCCAUGCCGCGUGGAGGAUGAAGGUCCUCUGGAUU